Sinocyclocheilus anshuiensis is the source of this 156-nucleotide small nucleolar RNA. The record is from Ensembl. Lineage: Eukaryota; Metazoa; Chordata; Actinopteri; Cypriniformes; Cyprinidae.
AUGCAUGCAGUAGCUCUGUUGCUACACUUCCUCUUCCCUUAUUGAUGGGAUUGUGGAAGAGAAAAUGGAAGCAUGCUAGAAAAAAGCUCCUGGAGUCAACAGGGCCACCAGUCUUUCAAGAACAGACUGGAUUGGUAGUAUAACACUCCGACACUA